RNAcentral lists this ribosomal RNA (692 nucleotides) under uncultured bacterium. RNAcentral describes it as "bacterial SSU rRNA". It matches the Rfam family "Bacterial small subunit ribosomal RNA", at positions 214 to 907 of the family's 1533-position model. The record is from RNAcentral.
CGCGCCGUGGGACGGGCCCGUCGUGGUAUUAGGUAGUUGGCGGGGUAACGGCCCACCAAGCCUGCGAUGCCUACCGGGCGUGCGAGCGUGGCCCGGCACACUGGGACUGAGACACUGCCCAGACUCCUACGGGAGGCUGCAGUCGAGAAUCUUCGGCAAUGGGCGCAAGCCUGACCGAGCGACGCCGCGUGGAGGACGAAGGCCUUCGGGUUGUAAACUCCUGUCGAGGGGGAAGAAGGCCCCGCAAGGGGCUUGACUGAUCCCUGGAGGAAGCACGGGCUAAGUUCGUGCCAGCAGCCGCGGUAAGACGAACCGUGCGAACGUUAUUCGGAAUCACUGGGCUUAAAGUGCGUGUAGGCGGGACGGCACGUCUGUCGCUGAAAUCCCCCGGCUCAACCGGGGAACGGGCGCAGAUACGACCGCCCUGGAGGGGCGUAGGGGGACCUGGAACUUCCGGUGGAGCGGUGAAAUGCGUUGAGAUCGGAAGGAACGCCCGUGGCGAAAGCGAGGUCCUGGACGCCUACUGACGCUGAGACGCGAAAGCCAGGGGAGCGAACGGGAUUAGAUACCCCGGUAGUCCUGGCCGUAAACGAUGGGCACUGGGUAGGGGGCUCGCCGAUGGGCUCCCUGCCGUAGGGAAACCGUGAAGUGCCCCGCCUGGGGAGUAUGGUCGCAAGGCUGAAACUCAAAGG